This 433-nucleotide ribosomal RNA is filed under the name uncultured bacterium. RNAcentral describes it as "partial 16S ribosomal RNA". It matches the Rfam family "Bacterial small subunit ribosomal RNA", at positions 29 to 507 of the family's 1533-position model. The record is from RNAcentral.
AACGAACGCUGGCGGCAUGCCUAACACAUGCAAGUCGAACGAGACCUUCGGGUCUAGUGGCGCACGGGUGCGUAACGCGUGGGAACCUGCACUUAGGUUCGGAAUAACUCCCCGAAAGGGGUGCUAAUACCGGAUAAUGUAUUAGGACCAAAGAUUUAUCGCCUUUGGAUGGGCCCGCGUUGGAUUAGCUAGUUGGUAGGGUAAAAGCCUACCAAGGCGACGAUCCAUAGCUGGUCUGAGAGGAUGAUCAGCAACACUGGGACUGAGACACGGCCCAGACUCCUACGGGAGGGAGCAGUGGGGAAUAUUGGACGAUGGGCGAAAGCCUGAUCCAGCAAUGCCGCGUGAGUGAUGAAGGCCUUAGGGUUGUAAAGCUCUUUUAGCCGGGAUGAUAAUGACGGUACCGGGAGAAUAAGCUCCGGCUAACUCCGUG